ACCAAUCCCAUGCAUCUAUCUCCACACUCCUACAUGUGCCCUUGCCCGCUUAGCUACGCUAUCUCCCCAGGGCCUUGUAUCUUCCUCAUCUAUUUAAUUGCCACACAAAAGUAUAGUGUUAUAACGAGUACUAGCGACAGAGUUCGUAGGGCUAGAUGUGUCUCUACUCCCAAUCCAGUUCCGACUCCUCCCAGAAGGGCUGCAAAUAUGUCCCGUUUUUCCCAACUCCCUGCUUUGCCUAAACCAAUGCCGCUGUUGUUCCAGACACCUUGGAGGAAUAGAAGGAUUAUUAAAAUGCAGACUCUAAUCUUUUUAAACUGACUACCUUAUUUGGAGUAUCUUCUGGUCGUAUUGCCUGUCUCCCCGUCCCUACUGUGAUACAGCUUAUACUUAUCCAUCCUGUAACAAGGAUCCACCACGAUCUUCUGUUGACACACAUCAUCAUCCUAAUACAGCUUUGCCUUGCUAUGUGGGA
This is a non-coding RNA of Pelobates cultripes (western spadefoot toad), 475 nucleotides long. NCBI's taxonomy places the organism in Eukaryota, Metazoa, Chordata, Amphibia, Anura, Pelobatidae. The record is from the annotation of a GenBank genome assembly.